GAUUAUGGCUCAGAACGAACGCUGGCGGCGCGUUUAAGCAUGCAAGUCGAGCGGCAAGGGCCUUCGGGCCCCUAGAGCGGCGGACGGGUGAGUAACACGUGGACAAUCUGCCCCCCGGCCCGGGAUAGCCCAGGGAAACCUGGAUUAAUACCGGAUGAGACGGGACCCGCGAUGGCGGGAUCCGGGAAAGGCGCUGCGGCGCCGCCGGGGGAUGAGUCUGCGUCCCAUUAGCUAGACGGCGGGGUAACGGCCCACCGUGGCGACGAUGGGUAGCCGGCCUGAGAGGGUGGACGGCCACAUUGGAACUGAGACACGGUCCAGACUCCUACGGGAGGCAGCAGCUAAGAAUCUUCCGCAAUGGGCGAAAGCCUGACGGAAGCGACGCCGCGUGAACGAAGAAGGCCGUGAGGUUGUAAAGUUCUUUUCGGGAGGGGGAACAACCGUGGCAGGGAAUGGCCGCGGGAUGACGUGAAUCCCGGAAUAAGCCCCGGCUAACUACGUGCCAGCCGCCGC
Molecule: ribosomal RNA, 513 nt
Filed under: uncultured bacterium
Lineage: Bacteria
Description: bacterial SSU rRNA
Rfam family: Bacterial small subunit ribosomal RNA
Source: RNAcentral